UACGGGGGGAGCAAGCGUUGUUCGGAUUUACUGGGCGUAAAGGGCGCGUAGGCGGCCACCGCAAGUCGAUUGUGAAAUCUCCGGGCUUAACUCGGAACGGUCAAGUGAUACUGUCGGGCUAGAGUGCAGAAGGGGCAACUGGAAUUCUCGGUGUAGCGGUGAAAUGCGUAGAUAUCGAGAGGAACACCUGCGGCGAAGGCGGGUUGCUGGGCUGACACUGACGCUGAGGCGCGAAAGCCAGGGGAGCGAACGGG
RNAcentral lists this ribosomal RNA (254 nucleotides) under uncultured bacterium. RNAcentral's name for it is "partial 16S ribosomal RNA". It matches the Rfam family "Bacterial small subunit ribosomal RNA", at positions 524 to 776 of the family's 1533-position model. The record is from RNAcentral.